AAAAAAGAACGACCAGACUUCACUCUCAGGAGCUGCGCCAUGGAUUUUCUUCGAUCUGGCCACUGGAAGGUGACCUCGACGACGCAAAGCUUGAUUGGGCUUACCCCGAGCUCAGGUUCAGCGUCUGCGGCGUUGAUUUGUGCAUAUUUUGGUUGUGGUUAGAAGCGAAGGAGCUAGAUCUGACGGCCGAAAGUUCGUCGCUUCGAGCAGUUCAGGUGGCAAGAAGCUCAGGUUCGGAGACGGGAAGCUCCACUUGUGCAGCAGCUACUCGGGCUAAGAAGCAGGGAGCUCGAUUCCGACGGGCACGAGAGCUCCUCCGUUCAGUGUAGCAGCAAGCUCGAGCUUGGCAACAGGAGCUCGAUUCCGCAGCCGGGAGUUCGUCGGCUUGUGCAGCAGCAAGCUCACGUGUUUGGCUUCUCGAUUCCGGUGGAGUGCCUAUUAUUUCUCAUAAUAAAAUGGAUUGCAGUACAGUGGUAGUAAAGUAUAAACAUGAAUUGGAAAACUGCUAGCUCAAGUCAUCAGAUAAGCAUGCAACAAAAGUAACAUAGUUACUGAAAAUAAUAACAGAGUAUUCAAGAUAUAUAGUUGACUGGAAUUUCCAUUGAACGAUGGGGCUGCAAUUCCCUGCUGUGUAUCUUGGCCAUGUUGAGUGACUCCAGACCAAGGAAGCAAAAGAUGUGGAAGCUGCUGCAUUUCCUUCUCCAUGUGGAGGGGCUCCAAACCAUGAACCAAAUGAUGCAGGUUUGGGUUCAAUGCCGGUUUACUUUGUGUUUGCCUUGAAGUCAUAUUUCACCUCCUCAUCUCUUUUAUCUGCCACCAAUCGGUCAAACUGUUGAAAGAAGGAGAAUUAUUCAUGGAGUGAUUUGACGAUGAAUCGGCGGCAGCGUCAGCGGCAGGUGAUGAGAUGCUCGGUAUCGGGAGGCUCAUGCUGAUGUAGUUGGCCUCUCCACCGGCCCCUGUGACAUUCACCAAGGACGCCCUGGCUUUUGCUCAAGAAGGGAUUAAGAUGUUAUUAGUUCUGUUUGUUUCUCACGAAUCACGAAUCAAGUUUUUUUUUGACUGGCGCCUUUUUACGUGUGAUUGCCGCCAUUUUUAUGUGGUUACCGCCAAUUUUCUCUCAAUAUUUACGGUCGAUCAGGACCCUCCACGUGUGAGGGAACAUGGAUGGGAAUAGAUAAUAGGAACAUGGAAGCCGCGCCCGGUACUGUUGCCCUGUAGCAGCUGACGUGUCCAGCUGACAUGCCCCUUCCAAAAACUACAGAUACUAUAGAUUAGGGGUGACCAAAAAUGCUUGAUCAUCAUAGACUAAUU
Oryza brachyantha (malo sina) is the source of this 1311-nucleotide long non-coding RNA. RefSeq lists it as uncharacterized. The transcript is spliced from 5 exons. NCBI's taxonomy places the organism in Eukaryota, Viridiplantae, Streptophyta, Magnoliopsida, Poales, Poaceae. The record is from RefSeq and is a predicted model, not a curated record.